UACGGAGGAUGCGAGCGUUAUCCGGAUUUAUUGGGUUUAAAGGGGGCGCAGGCGGUCUGUUAAGUCAGCGGUCAAAGCCCGGGGCUCAACCCCGGCCCGCCGUUGAAACUGGCAGUCUCGAGUUGGAGAGAAGUAUGCGGAAUGCGCGGUGUAGCGGUGAAAUGCAUAGAUAUCGCGCAGAACUCCGAUUGCGAAGGCAGCAUGCCGGCUCCACACUGACGCUGAGGCACGAAAGCGUGGGUAUCGAACAGG
RNAcentral lists this ribosomal RNA (252 nucleotides) under uncultured bacterium. RNAcentral's name for it is "partial 16S ribosomal RNA". It matches the Rfam family "Bacterial small subunit ribosomal RNA", at positions 524 to 776 of the family's 1533-position model. The record is from RNAcentral.